CUAGCUUGCUAGAAGAUGACGAGCGGCGGACGGGUGAGUAAUGCUUGGGAACAUGCCUUUAGGUGGGGGACAACCAUUGGAAACGAUGGCUAAUACCGCAUAAUGUCUACGGACCAAAGGGGGCUUCGGCUCUCGCCUUUAGAUUGGCCCAAGUGGGAUUAGCUAGUUGGUGAGGUAAUGGCUCACCAAGGCGACGAUCCCUAGCUGGUUUGAGAGGAUGAUCAGCCACACUGGAACUGAGACACGGUCCAGACUCCUACGGGAGGCAGCAGUGGGGAAUAUUGCACAAUGGGCGCAAGCCUGAUGCAGCCAUGCCGCGUGUGUGAAGAAGGCCUUCGGGUUGUAAAGCACUUUCAGUUGUGAGGAAAGGUUAGUAGUUAAUACCUGCUAGCUGUGACGUUAGCAACAGAAGAAGCACCGGCUAACUCCGUGCCAGCAGCCGCGGUAAUACGGAGGGUGCGAGCGUUAAUCGGAAUUACUGGGCGUAAAGCGUACGCAGGCGGUUUGUUAAGCGAGAUGUGAAAGCCCCGGGCUCAACCUGGGAACUGCAUUUCGAACUGGCAAACUAGAGUGUGAUAGAGGGUGGUAGAAUUUCAGGUGUAGCGGUGAAAUGCGUAGAGAUCUGAAGGAAUACCGAUGGCGAAGGCAGCCACCUGGGUCAACACUGACGCUCAUGUACGAAAGCGUGGGGAGCAAACGGGAUUAGAUACCCCGGUAGUCCACGCCGUAAACGAUGUCUACUAGGAGUUCGGUUUUUCGGAACUGUCUUCCAAAGCUAACGCAUUAAGUAGACCGCCUGGGGAGUACGGCCGCAAGGUUAAAACUCAAAUGAAUUGACGGGGGCCCGCACAAGCGGUGGAGCAUGUGGUUUAAUUCGAUGCAACGCGA
This 888-nucleotide ribosomal RNA is filed under the name Pseudoalteromonas spongiae. RNAcentral's name for it is "bacterial SSU rRNA". It matches the Rfam family "Bacterial small subunit ribosomal RNA", at positions 75 to 964 of the family's 1533-position model. The record is from RNAcentral. Lineage: Bacteria; Pseudomonadati; Pseudomonadota; Gammaproteobacteria; Alteromonadales; Pseudoalteromonadaceae.